This 496-nucleotide ribosomal RNA is filed under the name uncultured bacterium. RNAcentral describes it as "partial 16S ribosomal RNA". It matches the Rfam family "Bacterial small subunit ribosomal RNA", at positions 29 to 507 of the family's 1533-position model. The record is from RNAcentral.
AUGAACGCUGGCGGCGUGCCUAAUACCUGCAAGUCGAGCGAACAGAUGAGGAGCUUGCUCCUCUGACGUUAGCGGCGGACGGGUGAGUAACACGUGGAUAACCUACCUAUAAGACUGGGAUAACUUCGGGAAACCGGAGCUAAUACCGGAUAAUAUAUUGAACCGCAUGGUUCAAUAGUGAAAGACGGUUUUGCUGUCACUUAUAGAUGGAUCCGCGCCGCAUUAGCUAGUUGGUAAGGUAACGGCUUACCAAGGCAACGAUGCGUAGCCGACCUGAGAGGGUGAUCGGCCACACUGGAACUGAGACACGGUCCAGACUCCUACGGGAGGCAGCAGUAGGGAAUCUUCCGCAAUGGGCGAAAGCCUGACGGAGCAACGCCGCGUGAGUGAUGAAGGUCUUCGGAUCGUAAAACUCUGUUAUUAGGGAAGAACAAAUGUGUAUGUAACUAUGCACGUCUUGACGGUACCUAAUCAGAAAGCCACGGCUAACUACGUG